GACGAACGCUGGCGGCGUGCUUAACACAUGCAAGUCGAACGGUGAAGGGACCAGCUUGCUGGUUCUGGAUGAGUGGCGAACGGGUGAGUAACACGUGAGUAACCUGCCCCCUUCUUCUGGAUAACCGCAUGAAAGUGUGGCUAAUACGGGAUAUUCUGGGUCUGUCGCAUGGCGGGCCCGGGAAAGAUAUUGCUUCGGUGGGGGAUGGGCUCGCGGCCUAUCAGCUUGUUGGUGGGGUGAUGGCCUACCAAGGCGGGGACGGGUAGCCGGCCUGAGAGGGUGGACGGUCACACUGGGACUGAGACACGGCCCAGACUCCUACGGGAGGCAGCAGUGGGGAAUAUUGCACAAUGGGCGCAAGCCUGAUGCAGCGACGCCGCGUGAGGGAUGGAGGCCUUCGGGUUGUAAACCUCUUUCGCCAGUGAAGCAGGCCUGCUCCUUGUGGGUGGGUUGACGGUAGCUGGAUAAGAAGCGCCGGCUAACUACGUG
This 489-nucleotide ribosomal RNA is filed under the name uncultured bacterium. RNAcentral's name for it is "partial 16S ribosomal RNA". It matches the Rfam family "Bacterial small subunit ribosomal RNA", at positions 28 to 507 of the family's 1533-position model. The record is from RNAcentral.